GCUGUGGAUCGGAGUGAAAGGCUAAUCAAGCUCGGAGAUAGCUGGUUCUCCCCCGAAAGCUAUUGAGGUAGCGCCUCGUGUCUCACUCCUGGGGGUAGAGCACUGUUUCGGCUAGGGGGCCAUCCCGGCUUACCAACCCGAGGCAAACUCCGAAUACCAGGAAGUGCAAUCACGGGAGACACACGGCGGGUGCGAACAUCCGUCGUGAAGAGGGAAACAACCCAGACCGCCAGCUAAGGUCCCCAAAUCAUGGCUCAGUGGGAAACGAUGUGGGAAGGCCCAGACAGCCAGGAGGUUGGCUUAGAAGCAGCCAUCCUUUAAAGAAAGCGUAAUAGCUCACUGGUCGAGUCGGCCUGCGCGGAAGAUUCAACGGGGGCUAAAAGCCAUGUACCGAAGCUGCGGAUGCUGUAAAGCAUGGUAGGGGAGCGUUCCGUAAGCCUGUGAAGGUAUCCUGUGAGGGGUGCUGGAGGUAUCGGAAGUGCGAAUGCUGACAUAAGUAACGAUCAUGCGGGUG
Molecule: ribosomal RNA, 514 nt
Filed under: uncultured bacterium
Lineage: Bacteria
Description: bacterial LSU rRNA
Rfam family: Bacterial large subunit ribosomal RNA
Source: RNAcentral